GUUUUCAAGUUUCUUCCAGGACAUCUGAUAAAUUUGGAACGACAUAGGGUGAAUUAGUAUAGACCUUGCGCAAGGAUCACACGAAAGAAUUUAGAAAUACUUGAAUUCUAU
RNAcentral lists this small nuclear RNA (111 nucleotides) under Physcomitrium patens. Lineage: Eukaryota; Viridiplantae; Streptophyta; Bryopsida; Funariales; Funariaceae. The record is from RNAcentral.